Molecule: non-coding RNA, 142 nt
Submitted as: unclassified sequences
Source: Rfam
CAAUUAAUUAAGGGGCAACCCUUAACUGGCCAUUUGAGGAAAAGUCGAGAGGCUCAAGCUUAAAGGGCAGAAAGGUGGACCUAGUAGCGCUAGAAUAGUUCAUCGGGAAGGCUUGGCGGUAGCGCCUACAACGACGAGCCAA